This 503-nucleotide ribosomal RNA is filed under the name uncultured bacterium. RNAcentral's name for it is "partial 16S ribosomal RNA". It matches the Rfam family "Bacterial small subunit ribosomal RNA", at positions 30 to 523 of the family's 1533-position model. The record is from RNAcentral.
AUUGAACGCUGGCGGCAGGCUUAACACAUGCAAGUCGAGCGGGGGAGGUUGCUUCGGUAACUGACCUAGCGGCGGACGGGUGAGUAAUACUUAGGAAUCUGCCUAUUAAUGGGGGACAACAUCUCGAAAGGGAUGCUAAUACCGCAUACGCCCUACGGGGGAAAGCAGGGGAUCACUUGUGACCUUGCGUUAAUAGAUGAGCCUAAGUCGGAUUAGCUAGUUGGUGGGGUAAAGGCCUACCAAGGCGACGAUCUGUAGCGGGUCUGAGAGGAUGAUCCGCCACACUGGGACUGAGACACGGCCCAGAGUCCUACGGGAGGCAGCAGUGGGGAAUAUUGGACAAUGGGGGGAACCCUGAUCCAGCCAUGCCGCGUGUGUGAAGAAGGCCUUAUGGUUGUAAAGCACUUUAAGCGAGGAGGAGGCUCUUUUGGUUAAUACCCAAGAUGAGUGGACGUUACUCGCAGAAUAAGCACCGGCUAACUCUGUGCCAGCCGCCGCCGUAA